GUGUGAAGUUGAAUGGCUACUGACUGUGAACUUCAGUAAUCAGAGAUGCAGGUCUUAGUUCUACAUGAUGUAUCAGGAAAACAUAGCGGAUUUUUGAAUUUCACAGCAGUCAUGGACCAUAGCUAAUAAAUGUUGCUGCAGUGACAAAUCAAGAAGUUCAGCUUGUUGUGUGCAUAUUAAUUAUGUGCCAUGUGUAUGACUUUGAAGGGAGUGUCAUGGAAAAAGGGUAUGGAACAUACAGAGAUAGGGAUGUGUAAAACUGCAGGGAAGCAAGACCAAGAAUUCCAGAAGAUUAGUGGCUGUAG
Mercenaria mercenaria is the source of this 305-nucleotide long non-coding RNA. RefSeq lists it as uncharacterized. The transcript has 3 exons. The record is from RefSeq and is a predicted model, not a curated record. NCBI's taxonomy places the organism in Eukaryota, Metazoa, Mollusca, Bivalvia, Venerida, Veneridae.